AGCGAACGUUAGCGGCGGGCCUAACACAUGCAAGUCGAACGAGAAUGAGGGGGCAACUCCUCUAGUAAAGUGGCGGACGGGUGCGUAACACGUGGGUAAUUUACCUUCCAGCGGGGGACAACCGUCCGAAAGGAUGGCUAAUACCGCGUACGUCGGCGAGGGCUACGGCUCUUGUCGGGAAAGACGGCCUCUCCUUGGAAGCUGUCCCUGGAAGAUGAACCCGCGGCCCAUCAGCUAGUUGGUGAGGUAACGGCNCACCAAGGCUAAGACGGGUAGCUGGUCUGAGAGGAUGAUCAGCCACACUGGGACUGCGACACGGCCCAGACUCCUACGGGAGGCAGCAGUGGGGAAUAUUGGGCAAUGGGCGAAAGCCUGACCCAGCCACGCCGCGUGAGUGAUGAAGGCCU
This 407-nucleotide ribosomal RNA is filed under the name uncultured bacterium. Its description in RNAcentral is "bacterial SSU rRNA". It matches the Rfam family "Bacterial small subunit ribosomal RNA", at positions 29 to 417 of the family's 1533-position model. The record is from RNAcentral.